This 28-nucleotide non-coding RNA is filed under the name Mus musculus (house mouse). The record is from RNAcentral. Lineage: Eukaryota; Metazoa; Chordata; Mammalia; Rodentia; Muridae.
UGGGAAAAGGUGUUUCUUCUAGGGAAUG